AACAGGAUUAGAUACCCUGGUAGUCCACGCCGUAAACGAUGAGUACUAGGUGUAGGAGGUAUCGACUCCUUCUGUGCCGCAGUUAACACAAUAAGUACUCCGCCUGGGAAGUACGGUCGCAAGAUUAAAACUCAAAGGAAUUGACGGGGGCCCGCACAAGCAGCGGAGCAUGUGGUUUAAUCCGAAGCAACGCGAAGAACCUUACCUAGACUUGGCAUCUCCUGAAUAGCCGGUAACUCGGCGAAGCCUUUCGGGGCAGGAGGACAGGUGGUGCAUGGUUGUCGUCAGCUCGUGUCGUGAGAUGUUGGGUUAAGUCCCGCAACGAGCGCAACCCUUAUUAUUAGUUGCUACCAUUUAGUUGAGCACUCUAAUGAGACUGCCGUGGUUAACGCGGAGGAAGGUGGGGAUGACGUCAAAUCAUCAUGCCCCUUAUGUCUAGGGCUACACACGUGCUACAAUGGUGAGUACAAAGAGACGCAAUAUCGUGAGGUGGAGCAAAACUCAAAAACUCAUCCCAGUUCGGAUCGUAGGCUGAAACUCGCCUACAUGAAGCCGGAGUUGCUAGUAAUCGCGAAUCAGCAUGUCGCGGUGAAUACGUUCCCGGGCCUUGUACACACCGCCCGUCACACCAUGAGAGUCUGCAACACCCGAAGUCCGUGAGGUAACCCGUAAGGGAGCCAGCGGCCGAAGGUGGGGCCGAUGAUUGGGGUGAAGUCGUAACAAGGUAACC
This 730-nucleotide ribosomal RNA is filed under the name uncultured bacterium. RNAcentral's name for it is "bacterial SSU rRNA". It matches the Rfam family "Bacterial small subunit ribosomal RNA", at positions 771 to 1501 of the family's 1533-position model. The record is from RNAcentral.